CUGGUUCUUUUGAGUCUCUGAGUCAUAGUACAGUUUUAUUUUGGCAUGUACAUAUUAAAUAGAGUGAGUUGUAAAGAUUAUGUAAUCAAAAAUAGUAAGAUAUCAAAUGACAGUUGUUAGUGUAAUUAUAAGUGUGAUGUUCAUAUGUAUUACAGGUUAAAGUGCUAAUGAAACAGAGGAAAUUUUGCCGAAAAAUUUUGGGUUAGAAAUCUCACAUUUAUUUUAAUCACUUGAUGAAAGUUACAUGCAUUACCUAAAAACUUGGUAUUUACAGAUAAAAGAAAUUGUUUAGUCCU
Molecule: long non-coding RNA, 296 nt
Filed under: Manihot esculenta (cassava)
Lineage: Eukaryota; Viridiplantae; Streptophyta; Magnoliopsida; Malpighiales; Euphorbiaceae
Description: long non-coding RNA (MESC_LNC005850)
Source: RNAcentral